GGAACCUAGAAACACAGUGAGAGGGUUCUGAGGUCCCCGCCGUGAAAAGAGACAAGAUGACUGCUCUGAGUCGGAGACACGGAGAAUGGGAGCUGCCUACUUCUUGGGGGCAGAUAUUGAUUGGACUCUCCCCGUUUGCGGAUGCCAAGAAGCAGCCGAGCAUCUCUACCUCCAGGUCUGUCACAUGAUCCUGGGCCAGAAGGCUGAAGACGGAUCCUCCAACUUCCUGACACACUGGGGCUGUAUAG
Molecule: non-coding RNA, 248 nt
Organism: Rattus norvegicus (Norway rat)
Lineage: Eukaryota; Metazoa; Chordata; Mammalia; Rodentia; Muridae
Source: RefSeq, a predicted model, not a curated record